AGCUCUUCAGUUGUAGAGCAGCCCAGAACAGCAUUUUCAUGUCCAGAUAUUGUCCAGAUAUUACAAGAUCCUGCUUCCUCUUCAGAAUGCUCUGGUGUCACUAUUGGCAGAGACUACCAGCCUCCAGGGCAGCCUCACCCAGCCUUCAGGAACUUGUUUCUGAGCAUCCUGAUAGAACAAGAAGCCUUCUGUGUCCAAAAGAUGAUGCCCUUUCAGACUGCAUGUACACCCGGCUCUGUGGUCAGGAUCCUGAAGUCUGUAACAUCUGCUUGGUUACCAUAGCUGAAGAAGUGGUCAGCCACAUGGCCUCGGUCUCACCAAUGAACGGUGCUUCUGCAUUACCAGGCCCCCAGCUGGUCCCCAAGUGGUCAGCAUCGUGAGCAUUCCUGGCCCUCAGAGAUACUUGUGUGGCACUCUAGU
This 420-nucleotide long non-coding RNA is filed under the name Mus caroli (Ryukyu mouse). RNAcentral's name for it is "solute carrier family 6 (neurotransmitter transporter), member 19, opposite strand (MGP_CAROLIEiJ_G0002832.1)". The record is from RNAcentral. Lineage: Eukaryota; Metazoa; Chordata; Mammalia; Rodentia; Muridae.